GAUGAACGCUAGCGGCAGGCCUAAUACAUGCAAGUCGAACGAUAUUUUCCAACUUGCUGGAAGAAAAAGUGGCGCACGGGUGCGUAACGCGUAUGCAACCUACCUUAAUCUGGGGGAUAGCCCGAAGAAAUUCGGAUUAACACCGCAUAACAUCAUUGGAUAGCAUUAUCUGGUGAUCAAAUAUUUAUAGGAUUAAGAUG
RNAcentral lists this ribosomal RNA (200 nucleotides) under uncultured bacterium. RNAcentral's name for it is "partial 16S ribosomal RNA". It matches the Rfam family "Bacterial small subunit ribosomal RNA", at positions 28 to 227 of the family's 1533-position model. The record is from RNAcentral.